ACUGGAGGCGGUGGUGCGCACCUGUAGUCCCAGCUACUCAGGAGGCUGAGACAGGGGAUUUCUUGAGUCCAGGAGUUCUGGGUUGUAGUGCGCUACGCCAAUCAGGUGUACACACUAAGUUCAGCAUCAAUAUGGAGACCUCCUGGGAAUAGGGGGCCACCAGGUUGCCUAAGGAGGGGAGAACCAGCCCAGGUCAGAAACAGAGCAGGUCAAAACUCCCAUGCUGAUCAGAAGUGGGAUCCCACCUGUGAACAGCCAGUGUACUCCAGCCUGGGCAACAUAGAGACCCCAGCUCAAA
Molecule: non-coding RNA, 298 nt
Organism: Otolemur garnettii (small-eared galago)
Lineage: Eukaryota; Metazoa; Chordata; Mammalia; Primates; Galagidae
Source: Rfam